UCCGUAGCCGGUUUGAUAAAUCUUUUGUGAAAUCGUACAGCUUAACUGAACGGCGUGCAGAAGACACUAUCAAACUAGGGACCGGGAGGAGUCAGAGGUAUGCCGGGGGGAGCGGUAAAAUGCUAUAAUCCCUGGUAGACCACCUGUGGCGAAGGCGUCUGACUAGAACGGAUCUGACGGUGAGGGACGAAAGCUAGGGGAGCGAACAGGAUUAGAUACCCUGGUAGUCC
RNAcentral lists this ribosomal RNA (230 nucleotides) under uncultured bacterium. RNAcentral's name for it is "partial 16S ribosomal RNA". It matches the Rfam family "Archaeal small subunit ribosomal RNA", at positions 518 to 747 of the family's 1478-position model. The record is from RNAcentral.